GGCCGGUCCGAGUACAGUGGUGUUUACAACUAAUUGAUCACAACCAGUUACAGAUUUCCUUGUUGCUUCUUCAUUCCCACUGCUUCACUUGACUAGCCUUUA
Propithecus coquereli (Coquerel's sifaka) is the source of this 102-nucleotide unclassified non-coding RNA. It matches the Rfam family "Y RNA". From Rfam's summary of the family: Y RNAs are components of the Ro ribonucleoprotein particle (Ro RNP), in association with Ro60 and La proteins. NCBI's taxonomy places the organism in Eukaryota, Metazoa, Chordata, Mammalia, Primates, Indriidae. The record is from Ensembl.